RNAcentral lists this ribosomal RNA (118 nucleotides) under Lepisosteus oculatus (spotted gar). The record is from RNAcentral. Lineage: Eukaryota; Metazoa; Chordata; Actinopteri; Semionotiformes; Lepisosteidae.
ACCAGCAGCCAUAUCACCCUGCACCUCACAGCUGGCAGCCCCCUGGAGCUCAGCAGGUGUGAGCCUGCUCAGUACCUGGAUGGGAGACUCCUGGGAAAAACUAAGGUUGCUGCUGGAA